Molecule: ribosomal RNA, 344 nt
Filed under: uncultured soil bacterium
Lineage: Bacteria
Description: bacterial SSU rRNA
Rfam family: Bacterial small subunit ribosomal RNA
Source: RNAcentral
AGAUUGAACGCUGGCGGCAGGCCUAACACAUGCAAGUCGAGCGGUAGAGAGGUGCUUGCACCUCUUGAGAGCGGCGGACGGGUGAGUAAUGCCUAGGAAUCUGCCUAGUGGUGGGGGAUAACGUUCGGAAACGGACGCUAAUACCGCAUACGUCCUACGGGAGAAAGCGGGGGACCUUCGGGCCUCGCGCCAUUAGAUGAGCCUAGGUCGGAUUAGCUAGUUGGUGAGGUAAUGGCUCACCAAGGCGACGAUCCGUAACUGGUCUGAGAGGAUGAUCAGUCACACUGGAACUGAGACACGGUCCAGACUCCUACGGGAGCAGCGAGGUGGGGAAUAGUUGGAAC